Molecule: ribosomal RNA, 488 nt
Filed under: uncultured bacterium
Lineage: Bacteria
Description: partial 16S ribosomal RNA
Rfam family: Bacterial small subunit ribosomal RNA
Source: RNAcentral
GAUGAACGCUAGCUACAGGCUUAACACAUGCAAGUCGAGGGGCAGCAUGAACUUAGCUUGCUAAGUUUGAUGGCGACCGGCGCACGGGUGAGUAACACGUAUCCAACCUGCCGAUGACUCGGGGAUAGCCUUUCGAAAGAAAGAUUAAUACCCGAUGGCAUAGUUCUUCCGCAUGGUAGAACUAUUAAAGAAUUUCGGUCAUCGAUGGGGAUGCGUUCCAUUAGGUUGUUGGCGGGGUAACGGCCCACCAAGCCUUCGAUGGAUAGGGGUUCUGAGAGGAAGGUCCCCCACAUUGGAACUGAGACACGGUCCAAACUCCUACGGGAGGCAGCAGUGAGGAAUAGUGGUCAAUGGACGAGAGUCUGAACCAGCCAAGUAGCGUGAAGGAUGACUGCCCUAUGGGUUGUAAACUUCUUUUAUACGGGAAUAAAGUGAGGCACGUGUGCCUUUUUGUAUGUACCGUAUGAAUAAGGAUCGGCUAACUCCGU